This is a non-coding RNA of Hydra vulgaris (swiftwater hydra), 621 nucleotides long. NCBI's taxonomy places the organism in Eukaryota, Metazoa, Cnidaria, Hydrozoa, Anthoathecata, Hydridae. The record is from RefSeq and is a predicted model, not a curated record.
AAAUAAAAAUAAUAUAACUAGAAAGAAAAAUGUCUGGUGCCGGUAGAAAAAUAGAUGCAGUUUGAAGAAAACCUGCAAAGUUUGGUAAAAUGGGUAAUUAAAGCUAAAUGUAAAAGCUGUUGUGUACAAAUGCAAAUACAAAUGGUUGCUGGAAUGAGAAACCACAAAAUAUAAUUUUGGUAAAUGUAAUUUUUUGAAAGAUGUUUAAGAUGAUGAAAAGAUUAUUGUUUGUCAAAACAAAUAUCAAUCAGGCAACUGAAGAAACACAAGCUAGUUAAUGUUUGGUUAAGAGAACUGAAUCUAGUCAAUCUACUGUAUGCCCAUGCUGUUAAAUGGAAUGACACUGAGAUUUGGUAAAGAUCUAUAUAAAGAACUGCAUCAAAUGAUAAGCUUUAUAUGCAAAUGGAUGCAAUAGGCUGAUGUGGCAAAGUCAAAAUUUUUGUCAAUUAUUGUUUCAAUCUUAAUAAAACAAGACAUCUCUUCAAAAGAAUGCGACUUCAGAAAUCUCACGUUUAUUCGUACAUCAAAUGAAAAAACAUAUAUUGGACAACGGAUUUAACACUAGAAAACUUUUUUUAUAAAUGAUGACAUAUUUUUAUAAAUAGACAUAUGGGAUUGUAA